GUUUGACCUCAAAUCAGGUAGGGCUACCCGC
Molecule: ribosomal RNA, 31 nt
Filed under: Cryptococcus neoformans
Lineage: Eukaryota; Fungi; Basidiomycota; Tremellomycetes; Tremellales; Cryptococcaceae
Also listed under: 2 other names
Description: partial 28S ribosomal RNA
Source: RNAcentral